AGUUCGGACUGGAGUCUGCAACCCGACUCCACGAAGCUGGAUUCGCUAGUAAUCGCGCAUCAGCCACGGCGCGGUGAAUACGUUCCCGGGCCUUGUACACACCGCCCGUCAAGCCAUGGGAGCCGGGGGUACCUGAAGUGCGUAACCGCGAGGAUCGCCCUAGGGUAAAACUGGUGACUGGGGCUAAGUCGUAACAAGGUACC
This 203-nucleotide ribosomal RNA is filed under the name uncultured bacterium. Its description in RNAcentral is "partial 16S ribosomal RNA". It matches the Rfam family "Bacterial small subunit ribosomal RNA", at positions 1290 to 1500 of the family's 1533-position model. The record is from RNAcentral.